AAAAGAAAGAAAAAUAUGGCUAAAAGUUUUCUCAGCAGAGAGAUGACAAAAUAAUAUUACAAGGCAAACCAAGUGAGUAAUGAAGUACUUUCUUUUCCUAUAUAUUUUUCAAAUGUUCUGCCUUCAAAUUCUGAUCGCAUGUUUGCAAGUGCCUAUUAAAAGGAAGAGCCUUUUAAGUCUUCCCAUUUCCUGAAUUUAAAAUAUAUCAUAAAGAGAAAUAAAGAUGGAUUUACCAUUUGUUCGAUAAAUCGUUGUCGUCCAGCAUGGGGGAGUCCCGCUUGAAGCAAUUGUAGAUGAAAAAGAACCACCUGGGAAACAUAAUAAGACACUUUAUUAUUUCACGGUUACCAUUAAAGGUUGAUAGUGUUUGAAAUUUGAAGUACCUGGGGAGAGUUGGAUAUAUCUCUAGGUAAGGAAUGUGGGAUAUUUUGUGCCAGUAUGGUCCAAAGACACAAGAUCUUUGCGACUCAGUUAUGACCCAAAAUAUCUUUGGACACCCAGAGAUCCAAAAUUGUGAAAGUGAAAGAGUCGGGGCCACUGGAAUAGAUGCCAGCUUUGGACAAUUCCAGAGUUGAAGACAUUGAAGAGAGGUGAGGAAUUGAAAGCCCUUGCUGCUCAGUUUCUUCAAAUUUGGGAAGCACCCAAUUGUGAGAUGAGUGAGAGAUUCGGGGAGCAGCAUCUCCAUAUCCAUAUCUGUGUCUCCUUCGGGUGGAAACGACACCACAUAUGGGUCUUCGCCAUCGACCCACAACAUUGUAAGAGAGGUGAGCCUGUGCAACAACUCCCACAUCGGCUUACAAUUCUUAAUUCCGCCGAUUACAAGUGAUGUUAGGUUGGAGGGAAAGGAAGUGAAAUUUAAACCUUCACCGUAAUCAAUAUUCAAUUCCUGAAGACAGUUGAGAUUGCCCAUAUCCGGUAACAUCUCCAAUUUGUUGCAAUUUUUUAUGAUGAUUCGUCUCAGGCUGGAGGCGGCUGUUGUUGUUGGCGAAAGCAAACCCUCACCACUCAGGCUCGGGAUGGAAACCAGACUCCCACAAUCAUAAAUCUGUAAAGUUUGAAGAUUGGUGAGGUGGCAUAGGCCCUCCGGUAUGGAUUUCAGAUUUUGGCAAAAACUGAUGCUAAUAUAUUCAAGACAAUAAUUAGUGUUGUCGUGGGAGAACCCAUCGAACGUUAUUAACUGCAGCUCUCCACAAUGGGAUAUGUGAAGGCUUUUAAGCGCCUUGGGAAACAACUGGGCUCUCAAUGAUAACGACGUUAGAGAUUCACAUUCCCGUAUAUCCAAGUAUCGAAGAGAAAUAUGAGAAGAAGUGGAAGACGAAGAACCCACCUCCUCCUCUACAAAUGACUUCAAACUUUUACACCGCAUUAUCUUUAUUCUUCUUAGAUUUGGGGGAAUCUGGUAUUUUGCAAAAUACAGCAACGAAUCACACUCCUCAAUCCUUAUGACUUCAACGGAAGGAGGAAAACCAACAUCUGGAAAAGAAACCAGACUUGAGCAUCCAAUUAUUUGAAGGUCUUGAAGAGCCGUUAAGUGGUGCAACCCUUCUGGUACCUUCGAAAGACUUGCACAAUAGUUUAAUUGUAGAUAUUUAAGCUUGCAAGUCAAUAUUUGCAAUUGCAGCAAUUCCUCUGCUUCUUUUCCCAGCUUUUCAAGGAGGGAAGAGUUGCCUGAAAUAACCAAACGAUGAAGAGAAAUCAAGUGUUGCAAUACUCUAUCCUCAUUCUCCAGUGAAGAUGUCAGCUCCUCACAUCCGCCAAUCGUCAAUUUUACAACCUUCCUUAAUCCUUUGGUGAAUUCCCCUGUUUGGAACCUCACCUCUUUAAUAUUUGAAAGUUGCAAGGACUUUAAUAACUCAAACUCAACCCCACUUGUCUUCAGCACCGCUUUGCAGCCAUCUAUCCAUAAUCGACCAAUUUGUUUAUAGUUGGAAAUUGAAAUCACCAAUUCCUCGCAUUUAAUAAUUGUAAGUCUUGCUAAAGAAUCAAGGUUCUCUGGCACCUUACCCUCCAAUUGAGGACAAUUUCUGAUUGAAAGAAACUUCAAGCAAGGGAAAACAUCAAUUCCCCGAUCCCCCACAAAAGGAACCCAUUUCUUCCAGUGUUGCAUAUCCUCAAACUCAAGAGUCUCCAGUACUGGAAAAGGCAAGCUACCCUCCCCAUAAAACUCAGGACCGACACUUCUCACUGCAGCCAUUCCUGUAAUAUAAAGUUCUUUGAGCAAAGGCAGUUGCCCAAGGGGUGGCAAGAUUUGACAAUUUUUACAUUUGUCUAAGCGUACAUGCACCAUAGUGGAGAAUAAACGAUCUCCAAUCCAUGUUGAAAAUUCUAAUCCAGCAUAACCCUUGAUGAUGAGUUUUUUAAGCAUUCUAUGAGGUUCUAAUCCGUUAAGCACGCCUAAUUGUGUUUCUUGUGUGGCACUCGACCAUUCUAGCACCAAUUCAUCUACUCUCUCCUUGCAUUUUAAGUCGGCCCUCUGUGCAUCCUCAGCAUCGAUCACAUUCUCUAAUCUUGAGAGCCGUAAUGUCCCUCGGAGAUGGAAUAGGGACCUUAUCUCUCUUAUACCCGAUUGAUCACUACCUUUACCCACAACAAAAUUAGACAAAGAUUGUAGAUUUGUCAACCGACCUAGCUGUGGAGGCAUUGCAUAUUCAAAUGAGUAGUAGAGAUGACGCAGAUUCAAUAGAUUCCUCAAGUUGAUAGGCAGUGCCUCCAAAUAACGACAACCUUCCAAUAUCAAUGUCUGUAAGUUGUAAAGAGUGGUGGUUGAUUCAGGCAAACAUUCUAUCUCUGUGUGAGAGAGAUCAAGAUACCGCAAAUGCUUCAAUUUACCAAUUGAAUUUGGCAGCUCAGUUACUUGAUAGCCAUUGAAAGAAAGCACCCGCAAGUAUUGCAAUUUUGGCAAUAAAUCAAAAGUAACCUUACGGCUUAGAUAAUUUGAAGGAUGAUCAACUGAAAGUGGUAGGAAGGUUCGCAAAUGUUUCAUUUCAGAAAAUGCCUCAAAUCUUUUAACCACGUCAUACUUACCAGAAAUGUAGGAAGCAUGGCGGGCCUUCGUAAAACAUCCAAGUUGUACAUGAUCGCUAUUCUGCUUAUCCUCCAAUCUAACACAAAUAUCUCCUGCUGCCCACUGUGCCAAACCAACAAUGAGGUCAUGCAUUACGUACUUUGAAUUGUUCUUGCUUGAUUUCUGAAAUAAUGACCUCGAUAAGAGCUCCUGAAAAUAGUCAGUUCCUAAAUCUUCCAUUUGCUUAUUAUGUUCUGGUUGUGGUUGAAUCAAACCCUCUGCCAUCCACAGAAGAAUCAAUUGAUGCUCACUAAAUUCAUAGUCAUUUGGAAGUAUCGAACAAUAGGCAAAGCAUCUUUUCAAAUGUGAAGGAAGAUAGUGAUAGCUUAAUCGUAAUACCGGCAGUAUGUCAUGCUCAUUUGAUAGACUCCAUAAUUUGUUGUUCAAUAUUUCCUUCCAUUCAUUCAUCUCUUUACGAAGUAAAAGACCGCCAAGAGUCCUAGCAGCCAGAGGCAAUCCUCUGCAUCUUGAAACAAUUUUCUCCUUGAGUAACUCGAAAUUUGGUGGUAUAUCUCUGUUAACAUUCCUGAAUGCAUGCUGCUCAAAUACUUCAAAACAAACGUCAUUUUUCAUAAGCUCCAAAUUAUGAACUAGAGUGCCAGCUCCCAUCAUUUUCGAAACUUCUGCAUCUCGCGUUGUCACAAUUAUCUUGCUUCCUGCUGCUCCAUCGCGAAAGGGGGACUGCAGUUUCAUCCACAGACCAUAGCUACAUGUGCCCCAAACAUCAUCUAAAACAAUUAAAAACUUCUUUCCAGCUAAUUCCGUAUGCAGAUACUGUUGAACCUGAUUGAAAUCUUCUGUAGGAUAGUGCCGGGAUGUGACUGAUUCGAGAAUUUGCUUUGUCACUCUUUCUAGGUUGAAGUCAUCAGACACGCAUACCCAAGCAGUUGGUUUAAAUUGAUCGGUUGCAACAAUUUCAUUGAACACUUGUGCAGCAAGUGUUGUCUUUCCGACUCCAGCCAUGCCAACAAUGGCAACUACAUCGAAAUUGACGGCACCACGCUCUUGUUUCGACACAAAUUCAACAACCCGCCUUUUGUCUUCGUCCCUUCCAAUCACAGGUCCAUCUGGUUGACUGGAACUGGGAGGUAAAUUUUGACGUGCCGUAGUGGACGACGUCGUCCCAGUAAUGAUAUUCAAACUAAUAAGCUGGUCCUUUUGCUGAGAUAUCUCUUGUAAACGCUGAGUAAUCUUCUGUAUUUCUGAGUUCAUUUUGUAGUUGAAAACACCAUUAGGAACUGAGUUCCAGACCCUUCUUGCGGUAUAAUGCUCUGUCUCCCGUUUGAGCGUUUUAGUAGCAUAUUUGUCCAAUACGUCUUCCACGUCAUAAGCUAAGUCCCUGAGAUCACCCAGCCAAAGCUUCAGCGGCUUGCUCUCGGUGAUUAGUUGCCUCUCCUCCGCCUCAUUCAGAACCGCCCCAAUUGCAGACAAGGUGGCAGUCCAUUUCUGCAGCUUUUGGUCGACGCCUUUUAUGAGUCCGAAGUACUUGAACACCUCCCGACGCGCCAACUUGUCGACCAGCACUUGAAGGAAAGCCACAAGAUAAGCCUCUCCCAUAGUUUCUUGAAUUAGCAGGGAGAAGAAGCACUGAAAGAGUUCUGAACAGAAACAAGCAAUCAAAGAAAACGUAAGGAAGUCUGAGCAAAACAAAUAAAUACAAGAAACUAAAAGAAACAAAGUCUGCCGUACAAACAGAAUAAAUCAGAAGUACCUGCAGUUUAAGUAUAUGAUAUAUAUCAACAGCAGAUUUCUUCACGAAUUACCAAAUACCGAAGGUGUCACAAUGAACAAGAAGGAAAAUUCAAAGGCAAUACACAGUUACACACUUUUAGAACAAAAGAGAUCAAGAGAGCCAGAACCAAGACAUAAUAAAUAUGAAGAUGGAUGAGUGUGGAAGAUGGAUCAAACUUAUGUGGAAGAAAGUAAUUAUGGGUUUGAGAAUUUUGAGUAUGAGAUGUUAUGAUGAGAAGAUAUCUCUUUUGUGUUUUUGUUUUGGGUCAAUGGAAAAGACUCUGAACCAAAGUCUGGGGUUAAAAACACAAAAGAGAAGAAAAUAGCAUUCGUCGUAUGAUAGACAAAGAAAACGCAAUGCAAAUUCCUCAGAGUUACAGAAAUUACUGUGUUUGAUUUUUGGAUUCCUUUAACUGCUGCGACCAGCACGUUACAUCGAAAAAGUAGAAAGCUUUUUUUGUUUUUUUCGGUCAGAAGGAAAGUGGAAGCUGAUAAGUGUGUCUAGUCUAAUUGCCGGGCGUCCUUUGUCUUAUUAUAUUUGAUUCUGACAUGACUCACUCACAUCUUUCACCAUUAAAUUUUGAUGAGGUUCUCCCUCACUCUCAUUACAUUGAUGAGGUGAGCAACAAAUCUGGACUGAAGAAGUAGAACAGAGCUGCAGUCUUCCUAUAAGUGAGUUUUCAAUCAAGUCUAGUGUUAGUCAAAUGGCGCAGCUGCAGCACUGCUUCUGUCUGACUCUGUUUUCAACUCACUCACAUCACACUUGCUUUUGUCCAACCCCGUUAUUAAUUCACCAAUAAAAUUUAUUCUUGUUAUAAACUAAAGAGGAAUUUGAGGAGAGAAUUGAGAGAAAGAGAGAUGAAUCUUUUCUCUCUUCACUGAAUGUUCUAUCUGUUCUGAAUGUGUAUAUUUACAAGGAUGAAGAAGCCUAUUUGAAGGCAUUUGGUUGGGCUCUAUCAUACCGCUAUGAUACAAGAGGAAGCUUCCUAGGGGGGAAGCUUCGCAACUGAUUUACAACACUCCCUCUUGGAGACCACAAAUGAUACAGAAUAUGUCUCGUUAAAAACCUUGCCAGUAAAAAUCCAGUGGGACAAAAACUGGUCAAAGGGAAAAAGAGUACAUAAUGAUGUGUAACAUAAAAUUCUGUGUAUAUUGACGCGCGUGCGACACUGCCUCGUUAAAACCUUGCCAGGAAAAACCCAGUGGGAUAAAAACCCGGACGAAGGAAAAAGAGUACGGUGUUUGAAGAUCUUUAUUGAUGGUGCGCUCCCCCUGAUGCUUGGCAAAAUAUCUUUAAGUCAUACUGUUGAUCAGCUUUCUGAAUAUCGUAGUUGACACUGCUUCUGCGAGUCAAUCUUUGAGCGACACUGCCUCGUUAAAACCUUACCAGGAAAAAUCCAGUGGGAUAAAAACCUGGAUGAAGGAAAAAGAGUACAGUGUAUGAAGGUCUUUAUUAAGACCUUUCUCCCCCUGGUGAAUAUCUCCCCCUGAAAAAUUUAGGACUAGCUUUUGUCCAGUAAGCGACCACUAAAAUUUUCAUAGUAUACCCUAAGACCCCUGAGCGACACUGCCUCGUUAAAACCUUACCAGGAAAAACCCAAUGGGAUAAAAACCUGGAUGAAGGAAAAAGAGUACAGUGUGGAGCUGAGCUCUAUCUGGUCUAGUAUACUUCUGGAAAAACAUUUAAGGACCAACGGAUAAUCCUCAUAAAAAUGCUUCAAUACUUUCUUAGUAUAAGCAAGAAUCUCGUUGGCACAAUGCUCGAUCCUUAAGUCGAGACAAAUAUUUCGUGAAUUUUGCAGAAGCUUUAAUGUGUUGCAAUCACAUGAUAAUCAAUGUACUCACUGAGGUAAUUUAUGCAUAUUAAUAUUGAGUACAAAUUUUGUGCUUCAAGCACAUGUCCUUUAGGGACUUGCUCUAUGCAAUAUCAAUCCUCUCAACGGAUUUUGUCUAAAAAGGAUUAAGCUUUAUGACACAUUAUAUAGCUUUAACCCAUCUAUUUAUACAUCUUUUAGGGAAUCGCUUCUGGCGAUAUGCUCCGUGCAUUUAAUAACCCUUAAAGAUAACAUGUUGGUCUCCGUAAAUGUGCAAUAAAGGGGCACAAUUGAAUCUAUAAAUAUGGAGAAAACCCAACAUUCCUUGUUUCUGCCAGAAACAUUGUGUCAUACAAAGUAGGUAUAUUCCCUUUUAUUCCGAACACCCAAGUAUAACUUUCAGUAUUGACAAAUUUGGGGUUCGUACUGUGGGUUUAUUCUUUCACGUUCAUUCUCAUUUAUAAUGGAAUUACCUCGUUCCAUUUUGGCCAAUGAUAUUGUCGACAUUUAAUAAUUGAACGUGGUUCCAAUCAACACAGCCCAUUGAUGAUUUGAGUAGCUACUCCAAAACCAAAAAUUGUCAUUCAUCAAUUCAUGAUCCCACCAUUCUCGUUUGCAUGCACAUGCAUCAAUUAUAAGCAUUUCUUUGCUUUUGGGUACCCAAGCCACUGCAGAGGGCUUUUAUUAUGUGAGAAUGUGGAUUAUAACCUCCAAUGGAGCGUUAUUUUAUAGUAGGGCGUGGAAAAUCUCCAUUUAGGGAGUUGGAACAUUUAGAACCCAUAUAUCUGUCAUGCUACAGGCAUGCCACAGAUUAAUACAUACAUGUCAAUUAAUUUAUGGGACUUUAACCCAUAUUAUGGGACUUUAACCCAUAUAAUUUGCUACGCAUUAGGCGUGCAUAAUAUCAAUAUUGACAUGUCAAAGGAUUGUCCUUUCGGGACUUCAAUUCACAUCAUUUGCAACAGGCGUGCAUCAUAUUGAUCACUGCUAUACCCAUGUUAUGUUCUUAUGGGACUUUAAUCUGUGCAGUGUAUUAUCAAUGUAUCCAACUUGCAAUCUGUAAAAUUUGCGUUAAUAAUUCAUGGAUACAUACAAGCCAUUCUUUUGGAACGGACUUAUCUCCCCAUUUGGUUACCUUUCAAGAUAAAAUAUCAAAUAGGUAUAUAAGCAUAAAAUAACACAAGUAUUGCUUACAUCCUUAGGUGGGAGAAACUUUUUCUCAAGUAUCAUUCAAGCUCAUAUCAGCCCAGUAAAUAUAAUGUAGCGCUUGAUGAUCUAGUUAUAUCCUGCAAGAGCAAAAAUCACAACUCUUUUGCCUCUGUCAAAACAAAUAACCCUCAUAGUUAGGAUUACUUCAUGGAUUCAUUCUUCAGAUGUUCAUUCUAAAGAAAUAAAAUCUCUUAUGAACAGAGAGUUAUAAAAAGAGAAAAAAUGCAAAAAUAAUGUGAUAUUGAUUGCAAGAGAAGGUAAGCAAUCAGGGAAGGAAGCUGGUGGGAGCAGACAAUAAGCUCUCAUAUCUCCUAGUCUAGAAGAACCUCAGGAGAUUAGAGCAUAAGGCCGCCUUUACAAUUCCCUGAUCUUGCAGAAACAUGAUCAGGGAUAGUCUUGCUUCCUGAAUGGAUGAUCAGAGAUAGUCUUGCUUCUCAGGCAUAUUAAGUGCUUACUGAUAAGAAAAACAAGUAGAUAUCGCAUCACCAGGUAUGGAGUAAACUGGAUGUCUUUUACAAAGAAAAUUUCGUUAGUAACACAUUUAUACACAAAUACAAUGAAUAGGUAGAACCGGUGAAUUUCAAAUUAACCAUAGGAAAAUUGCGAGAUUCUCAGGAUACCUUUGAAAAAGUAGUUCCGUGAAAUCCGUAAAGCAAGAUCGGCGUUGAAAAUAAUACUUGAAAACGCCGAAAGUGCCGACAGGCAUUAUUAGAGGCCACGUGAAGUUUUGGACUCUAGGAAAGAAAAAGAGAAAUAUGGGGAUCCGAGAAGAUAUUGGGAUCCUGAAAAAUAGUAGCCAUAUUUCCUUUUAUAGAUAUUGCCUUUGCAAAACUUGAUUGGAGCAACUGCGUUUCAACUCAACUUCCUUCAGAGGCUUCCAGAACAUAAUGUAUUUUUAUAGAUUUUACAGGGCCUGCACCUUCAUUGCAGGUGGAAAAAAUCUAUCUGUUGUAUGUUCCUGUUAUAAUAAUGGCACAUAUUCUUAAACUUGCACCUGUGGUUUUUACGUCUUUUCAAAAUGACGGUUUGGAACCUUAUGCCUUAUAGGUUCAAAUAACCACAUUGUCUCUCCCAAAUUUCAUAUUUUAUCGCAUGGUAGCCCGGAACUUUUGGCCUGGGCACAAACUCAGAAUUUAUUUGCCCUUUUCAAAUGGACAUGAAAUGUGAAUUGAGUAAAAGCCAUGAUAAUAUCGCAAUAUAAUAGUGAAGAGCAUUAACUACUAUAUACCCACAACUUCAAGUUUAGGAUCUCUCAUAUAUUUGGAUCCAUGGGCUUCCGGCCCAGAUAUAACAAAAUAUGUGGGGAGCCUCAAUUCAUUAUUUGAGGUUUAUAUUGAUAUUAUCCAUUUCGCGGUGUAUUCUUAACAACUGGAAUUCACAAAAUAUAUUUCUUCCUUGAAGUGUCGAUUAUAACAAAAUCGAACUUUAAAUUCAUAAAUUAAAUUGCUUGCUGUAUGGACGUUAAUCCCGCACCAUACCUUAAAUAAAUGUAAAUGUGCGGUAAAGUAAACGUGCUUGUAUGGGCACUAAUUCUGCUCCAUACAUUUAAAUAAAAGCAAAGGCGUGGACGAUAAACCCGCACCACCCUUUUAAAUAAAUACUGUCGUAUGGGUAAUAAUCCUACACCAUACAGUAAAUAAAAUAAAUGUGCGGUAAAGUAAAUUUGCAGUAAAUUAAACGUGCUUGUAUGGGCACUAAUUCUGCUCCAUACAUUUAAAUAAAAGUAAAGGCGUGGACGAUAAACCCGCACCACCCUUUUAAAUAAAUACUGUUGUAUGGGUAAUAAACCUACACCAUACAGUAAAUAAAAUAAAUGUGCGGUAAAGUAAAUUCGCAGUAAAUUAAAUUCAUAAAUUAAAUUGUUAGUAUUAGUAACGGUCUCCCACUGAUAAUAUGUUUAGUAUUACCAAGGGUCCAUUUUUGUUAAUAGUUAGUAAAAGAAAAGCAGAUAAAUAUAAUAGGAAAUAAUAGGAAAGAUAAGGGAGCAGAAAUCUUAUCGUUUAUUCUUUCACUUAUGCCCUUGCUGAGUGAUUCUUUUUUUCUUUUUCUUUUUUUUUUUUCGGUGGGUUUUCACAAGCUUUCCACUAAGCUGAUCACUUUUUUUAGGCAUGCCUGCUAGAGCGGAAAGACAUCAAUUUCAUCAUUGUCUUCCACUGAGGACAGACACCAAGACAGCAAAUUUGAGUGGAACAAGUGCUGUCAAUAUCUUUAAAGAAGAUAUGGGAUACAUCCAUUCAGCACAGUCGCACCAAACCAGAGGCAUAAGCUCAGUGGUCUCAUCAGUGGCAUAACCAAACAUGUGACCCUGGUCUCCAGCACCAAUUUCCUCAGGCCUCUUGGUGAGGUGGCCAUGGACACCCUGAGCGAUAUCAGGGCUCUGAUGCUCAAUGUUAACCAAGACCUUGCAGUUGUCAGCAUCAAGGCCAACAUGAUCUGGAACAAAUCCAAUCGUACGGCAGGUGUCACGUACAAUUUUCUCAUAGUCCACUUUGGCUUUGGUUGUAAUCUCUCCAAAGACCAUGACCAUGUUGGUCUUGGUGCAAGUCUCACAGGCAACUUUGCUGUCGGGAUCUUGCUCAAGGCAGGCAUCAAGAACUGCAUCAGAAAUCUGAUCACAGAGUUUAUCAGGGUGUCCCUCAUUCACAGACUCAGAAGUAAACAGGAAAGUGUCCAAAUAGCUCUCGAUUUCCAUAGCUAUCCCAUGCAUAUGCAGAGGUAUCAAAGCCGGCGGCUCACACAUGCCGUGAACGUACGGCUGGUAGCUCGGAAUGUCCGGAUUAUCCACGACUGAGGGGUCGGGUACGACCGCGUAUACCAUCGGAUCCUCCGGCAAGUACGACUCCGAUGACCUGGUCAUCGCCGACGGGUCUGGAACCGACUCUUUGCCGUAGAACACCCGCUUCGAGAGCCCGAGGUCGUACUCGACGCAGCUGGAGAACUCGGCGGCCAUAUCGCCUGCGGAGGUUUUCCGGCGAGGGUGAUGUCCUCGCAGCUAGAGGUGGUGAUGGUUUUCAAGGAGAUGCGGCGUGCAGGAGGUCGAGCAUGUCACCGUCCACAAGGUCACCAUCACAGCUCGUCUUCUCCAGCUGAUCCGCCAACUCUGCCUCAAGAACAUCCACGUCAGAGGACGACGAUGAUGGCAGAGCAUCAGUAUCGUCUUCAUCCCCAUGUCGGAGGACGACGAUGACGGCAGAGCAUCAGCAUCGUCUUCAUCCUCCUCCUCCUGGCUUCCGGAACUUUGAAACGAGACGAACUCGAAACCGUCAUCAUCGCAGGAGUCGCAGUCACGUGAGAAGUGCAUGCUCAUGGCUUGGUCGGAUGUCAAAGAUCGGUUUGUGGCCUUUUCUUCUGCGGAUCGUUGGUGUGGCUGUUGCCCAAGUCCCUCAAGGCAGGUGAGGUCGUCUUCAAUGGAGUAGCAGAGGAGGGAGUUGUGGUCUCUGCCCGCCGGUGUUGUUGUUGCUGGUUUUGAUGAUCUGGGCGCUGGUGAUCUUGCACUGACAUCAACAUAUUUCCAACACAAAACAAGCUUCCUUCAUAGUCCACCCCAUUCACUCUGAAUCUUGAGCACGGGAGACGCAAGAAUAUGCAGAGACUAUGAAUUGAUCAUGCCCUUUGGUCUCUUUGCUGGGUGCGCUUGGCGCUUUUGCUGUCGAGGGCCUCACUGUGGUGGCAUGGCAGGACGCUGGCAAGCAAUCCGUGUGGCUCUGUACAAAACUGGGUUGGUUUUGGGUGAGCAAUUUGGGGCUUGGUUUCGAACUGGGUGUCUUGAUCAAUUUCUGGGAUCAAGAAAUUAGAGAUUCUGAAAAUACUGAUCAGAGCUGGUGAUGUGAUUUUGAUAUUUGUUGCUUGCUGCUGUUGGUUUAUCUAAAAGAGUUUCAUCAGAGAACUCAGCCGGUUAAAGACUCGUGCUGAUAACGUGUUAUAAACUAAAGAGGAAUUUGAGGAGAGAAUUGAGAGAAAGAGAGAUGAAUCUUUUCUCUCUUCACUGAAUGUUCUAUCUGUUCUGAAUGUGUAUAUUUACAAGGAUGAAGAAGCCUAUUUGAAGGCAUUUGGUUGGGCUCCAUCAUACCGCUAUGAUACAAGAGGAAGCUUCCUAGGGGGGAAGCUUCGCAACUGAUUUACAACAAUUCUGAAUAUAUGAACCCUUUCUUUGGACGACAACGACCGUGAAAUUGAUAUUUAGUUAGUUUAGAUAUUUAUGACAAAGUGAUAUUCAUGAGAUAAAUACAUCAAGGGCAAUAAAUUCAUCAUUCCCUUACAUUUGGUUAGUUUAGAUAUUAAUGAUCCAUUUGGAAAUUAGGAGCAAUAUUUUCAAGAGGUAUAGAGAUUUUUAUUAGAUUAAAUAUGAACAAGAUUUUACAAGCACUGAUUGUCCUUUUUCAACACGCUAGACAAACAUAGGAAGUUUUCUACAUUAAAAAAAUAAAGGAAAAAAAAUAUAGAACUGAGUUUUCAAUCAAGUCCAGUGCUUGUCUAAUGGCCCUGCUCCAGUUGCUUCCUUAUCAUUUUGUUUGAUAAUGAAAUGGUCUUUUUUCAACUCAUUCACACUUGCUUUUGUCCAACCACGUUAUGAAUUCACCGAUAAAUUCAUUGCCUAAAUGUAUGAGCGAUAAAUCAACUUGUUUGAGCCCAAUUUUCUUCAGCGCAAAAUUCAUAAUAUGGAUCUUUAUAUUGGUCACAUGAUUAUUUCAUUAAAUUUAAGUGAAGUUACUAUUAAGAUGAAUCAUGUGAGUAAUAUGAAGAUCCACAUCUAUGAUCUAUAUAUAGUAUCAUCACCGUAAAACAACUCUUUAUUUACAUAUCCGGAAUUAAAUAUCCUAUUUGUGCCUAAUUUUUACAUAUCCAGAAUUGAAGUCGUACUGGGCCAAUGUUAUAGCCUGAGGAAUAAUAUUACAAGGUAAACCCAAACCCAGUGUGUAAUUGCAACACCUAAACUAUUUAACAUGUCAGAAUGAUCUUUCUUUACUCAGAAUUAUAAUCCUUGACUGUUUCUAAUUUAAUGAUAGUGUACCAUUGCCAAAUAAUAUAUAAAGGCACAAGCUUUUCCAACCGGUCUUAUAAAUUUAUUCCGCCACUCUGAGGCUCUCUAGUCUGCUUUAUUGCCAUUGAAAGUACAUUUCAUUUUAAACUCUACAAUAUUAUAUGCAUUUAGUGAGAGAAAUUGGAGUAUUAUUAGUACAUUAUUAGAUUGUUUGUCUCGUGUCGUGUCAUAAGUUUUGCAUUGCUUUAACCUCUCAAAUCAUGACAUAUAUAGAUGCAAGCUGUCGAGCAAAAUAAGGACCUAGCAUAAAACAUGACCUAUUUUAUGGUUUAAAGCACAACGGUUGUAAUCGAAGUAGAACUAAGAUAAAUACAUCAAUGGUUAUAAAUUCUCUUAUCUUACAUUUGGAUAUAUGAAAAUAACUCGGGAUUUAGUUUAAAGUCGGGAAUUGAAAAGAAGAAAUAAUUCGGGAUUUAGCUCAAAGUCUUCAUCCAAAAGGAAGUUUAUGAAUUUGCUCAUUUCAACCUUGAUUAUGAGCAAAAACCAAGACAUAAUAUAUAUGAAGAUGGAUGAGUGUGGAAGAUGGAUGAAACUUAUGUGAGAGAAACCAAUUAUGGGUUUGAGUAUUUUGAGUAUGAGAUGUUAUGAUGAGAAAAUAUCAUUUUUCUUUUUCUUUUCGGUCAAUGGAAAAGACUCUGAAACAAAGUCAUUCCCCAAGACUUUUUAUCCUACCGACCCCGAAGUUAAAGAAAUUACUGUAUAUGAUUAUUUUGCAUUCUGCAUCACUGCCAUCACUACUCUAAUGGCCCUACAUUAAAAAAAAGGACCACAAAAAAAGUAGAAAACUGAUGACUUAGUUUUCAAUCAAGUGGCCCUACUCCAGUUGCUUCUUUCCGACUCUUUUGGAUAAUGAAAUGGUAUUUUUUUUCAACUCAUUCGCACUUGCUUUUGUCCAACUACCACGUUCUGAAUUCGCCAAUAAAUUUAUUACCGAAUUGUAUGGGCAAUAUAUGAACAUGUUUGAGCCUAGUUUUGUUUACCACGAAAUUUUAUAAUAAGAAUGUCAUAUAUGGAACUUUGACGUGAACUUUUAUAUCAGUCACAUGAUCAUUUUAAUUGAACUUAAAUAAAGUUACUAUUCAGAUGAAUUAUAUGAUAAAUAUAAAAGUCCACAUCAAUGAUCUAUAUGUGACACCCUCAUCAUAUCCAAAAUUAAAUAUCCUUUUUAGGCCUGAUUUUUACAUAUCCAAAAUUAAAGUCGUAGUGGGCCAACAUUAUAGCCUUAGGAAUAAUAUUACAAGGCAAACCAAGUGUGUAAUUGCAUCACCUACACUAUUUAACAUGUCAGAAUGAUCUUUCUUUACUCAGUAGUGUUUGCCAAAUAAUAAAUAAAUUUAUUCUGCCGCUCUGAGGCUCUAGUGUGCUUUAUUACCAUUGAAAGUAUAUUUCAUCUUAAACUCUAUAAUAUUAUAUGUUCAGUGAGAGAAAUGGGACUAUUAUUAGUACAUCACUAGAUUGUUUGUCUCGUGUCAAAAGUUUUGCAUUGCAGAAUGUACAAUAUGGAGAUUCCUUUUAAGGGAAGAUACGAGAUUAGAGGAUCAGGUAGAUGAACACAGUUCAUGAUUGUUGUAAGUGUUUAUACCCAGUUUUGGUAAAUGGAUCAAAAAUUGUCUAAAUGGCUAAAAGAAUAUUUUAAAAAUAAAGCCAGGACCAUUAGCAUUUGUCUUUUCUAUAAAGGUCAUCCUCUUCCUAACGGGCCUUUUUGAAUAAAUUAAUAAGAAUGCCCAAAUUGUAAAAAUCAGAGCCUUGUUUCGCACUACAGGUUAAAAAAUCGGUAAACGUGUUUUCUACGCCCACGUGAGAGGCUGAAUGGGAUUAUCACAUUUAAUGACGACUUGACCUCCUCAUCUCCCAGCAAGAAAACAAGCCGUAUUGAAGCCUCCGAAUCCAGAGAAGGAUCAAAUUGCCAACCAAGUCUUCAAGUACAAAGGAGUCAAAUCAAGAGAGGUUUGCAAGAAAAACUGAUGGUUCUUGCCAGAAGCCUUCCAUCAUUCCCUCUAUGAACUGGUUAAGAUCAACAAACAAGCAGUUGACCUUGAACCACAAGCCAAAGGUCUUGUUGCAGUUUCCAUCAUUACAGGCUCUUUCCGCCUCUAUAAAUAAAGAAUGUCUACUUCAGAAGAAGAAUGUCUAUAUUGUAUAAACCCUGUCAACUCAACUGAACAUAGAAUCCUCUAGGUAACAAAAGUUAAGAGUCCAGUCGUAAGACCUAAAAACAAUGGGGUGACAUGCCAACACCAAAAGAACAUAAAAAAUUCAGAGUUAAAAGAAAUAAAAAGAAAACAAACGAUGAAGAUGUCAGCGCAAUCAAAUUGGUAUAUACAAUUCAGUGCCUAACCAACUGAGGAUUGAGGUAAAAAUAAAAAAAAAAUUAUGUAUAUGAAUAUGUAACACCUCACUGCUUGCGGUUCCUUAUUUAAGGCCCUGAAGCAUCAUGCCAUGCGGGAAAAACUAACUCUAGUAGCAAAUUGUACUGAACACACGUAGGAAAAUGUCCAUGUCUAUCAAAAUGAUCUUUCUUUACGGAGCGAUCCUUUGGUUGUUUGAGCUUGGUAGAUCUACAUUGAUUUGAAUUUUGUAUCAACAUUCAACAAUAAUAGAGAUGUAAAUUUUUUUCUCCGAAUAAUAUACAAAGGCACAAGCUUCUCUCCAACCAGUCUUAUAAAUGAAUUCUGAGGCUCUAGUGUGCUUUAUUGCCAUUGAAAGUUGUUAGUUUAAAGGAGAAGGAGUUUAGAGAAUGGUUUGUUUUAGUAUUUAGGACAAUAGAUUGAUGCGGAAUGGAAAUUUUUUUGAAAGAGUAACAAGGAAAUUUUAUUUGAAUGGAGGAGGAAAGUUACAAAGCUGCAAGGUAACAAGCGUGUAUAUAUAUAUAUAUAUAUAUAUAGGAGAGUCACCACCCUUCUGAAAGUGAAACAAUUUCUUUGGCGAGCGGUCUCUAAUAGUCUCCCUUCCUUCUUAAAUCUCUAUAAGCGUAAGUUGUCCUCUUCGUAUUUAUGUCCUAUUUGUUUGGAGAGUCCUGAAUCAAUUGAAUAUAUGCUAGUCCUUUGUCCUUGGAUAGCGUCUGUUUGGUUUGGAAGUGCAAUUGGCUAUCGUGUGGAUUUGCAAAGUUUUACUUCUUUGGAUAGAUGGUUGGGCAGUCUCUUGACAUGGGAGAGUAUGUUCUCACCCAAUUCUAUGUGGAAGGAUCGAUGGGCAGUCUCUUUUGUCGGUUGUUGCUUUCACUUGUUGGCAUAUUUGGAAGGAUCGAUGUAAAUUUGUUUACAAUGAUAUCCCAAUUGUGCCUGCAGCUACUAGAUCUCGUGCUUGUUUGGCGGUGUCAGAAUUUUGGAAUGUUACAAAGAAGCUAGUUCUUGGGUCAGUGGGUAUGCCUAUUCAAAUUUCUUCUCCUCAUAUCCUUCUUAUUGGCUACCCCCCAUUUCUUACUGAUGGGUCUUGGAAGUCUGCUUCUGCUAUGGCUGGAGUUGGAGUUAUUAUUCGGAAGAUUGCUGGUUCUUGUAUUGGGGGUCUUGUUGCUCAGGUGCGUGCCCAAUCUCCACUUAUGGUUGAAGUUUUGGCCCUGAAACAUGGUCUUUUGAGAGCUAAAGAGUUGAAUUUGGUUAAUGUUGUGGUGGAAUCUAAUUCUCAAGUGGCUAUUAAUUCUGUUCAGAGGGAUGUUUCUUCCUUUAAUUGGGAGUUGCAUCCUGUCAUUAAGGAUAUUAGGUUUAUUAAAGCCUAUUUCACAAAUCUGAAUUGGGCAUGGGUGCUCCGUGAAGCGAACCAGUCUGCGGAUGCCGUUGCCUCACUUGCCAAGAAGGGGAUGUGCUUGGAGUUGUGGCUUGUGUGACCUCCAUUCUCUCUGGUUCAUAUUUUAUCUCGAGAUAGUCUUCCUUGCCCUCCGCUUGAUGCUUAAUCUUUUGUUGUGUGGUUUUUCGUUUGUUUAGUUCUUUUGGCUUGUUUUAGUUCUUUGGUUUGGUAUGUCUGUUCUGUUUGUUUGGUUGGGUUUGGCUCCCUUUUGGGCCUUUGCCGGUUAACUUUUAUGACAUCUUUGUUGACCCAAAAAAAAUAAAAAAAGAGAGGGAAGAAUCACGGACUUUGUAUACAGUUAUGUCGGUUAGUUUAUUAUUUUACAGCUAUGUCGGUUAGUUUAUUAUAUUACAAUACUUUGAUUAUUUUAUACUAAAGCAUGCUUUUGAUAUCAAGAUAUUUUGGAGUCAACCGACUUUGUUAAGUUGGUUUGUUCAUUCUCAAUUAUUCUAGACUAUUCUAUAUUAUUCAAGAUUUUUCUAUGUUCUUCAAGGUAUAAGUGGGGAUUACUUUUUUAACAGAAGUCUACAUUUCGUUUUCAAUUGCUGUCUACAAUGAUAUACCUUUUGUUAAAGGAAAGAAUCAAGUCAUAUUUGAUAUGCCUGUUGUAAAAGUUUGAAGGUGGAGCCCACAGAGGAAGUUUCCUUGCAUCUUCCAGGAACUUUCCUUCCCUGUAUUUAUCAAUUCAGGAAGUUUCCUUGCAUCUUCCAGGAACUUUCCUUCCCUGUAUUUUACCAAAACCUUAGCCUAUAAAUAGGCAUAUCACUUGCAAUGGAAAGAGCAACCAACGGAGAAAAGAAAGAAAAGGGAGAAGAGAAAAGAAGAGAGAAGAAGAAGAGAAAAUAAGAGGGUAAGUAAGCAGAGAGAAAAUUCAGUGAGUCACACAUAUUGUAAACACUAUUGUAGUCAUAUUAUUAUAUAGUGAAAGGUUACUGUUGCUGCUCUCCGAGGACGUAGGCGUAGCCGAACCUCGUUAAAUACUGUGUCUCAUCUACUUUACGUGCAGCUCAGAAUUCGCACAUAUCCCAGGUUAUUUCAUAACACGUUAUCAGCACGAUAGUCUCUCCUUUUAUUUCUGAAAUUUUUCCAACUCAACACUAUAUAAUAUACUAUAUCUAUCUGCUUCUCUAUUACUAACCAUUAACAAAAAUGGACCCUUGGUAAUACUAAACAUAUUAUCAGUGGGAGACCGUUACUAAUACUAACUUUUUCUUAUUUUAUUCGGUGGUGGUUUUAACCCCACAUUUAUUUACUGUAUGGUGUAGGUUUAUUACCCAUACAUGCACCUUUACUUUAUCGCAAAUUUAUUUUACCUCAUAUUUAUUUUAUUUACUGUAUGGUGUAGGUUUAUUACCCAUACAACAGUAUUUACUUUUAUUUAAAUGUAUGGAGCAGAAUUAAUGCCCAUACAAGCACUUUUACUUUAUGAAUUUACUUAACCGCACAUUUACAUUUAUUUAAAGUAUGGUGCGGGAUUAACGUCCAUACAGCAAGCAAUUUAAUUUAUGAAUUUAAUUUACCGCACAUUUACAUUUAUUUAAAAGGGUGGUGCGGGUUUAUCGUCCACGCCUUUACUUUUAUUUAAAUGUAUGGAGCAGAAUUAAUGCCCAUACAAGCACUUUUACUUUAUGAAUUUACUUAACCGCACAUUUACAUUUAUUUAAAGUGUGGUGCGGGUUUAUCGUCCAUACCAGCAAAUUCAUAACACUUUACUUUUAUCAUCAAUUAAUAUACCUGAAUAAUGAGGACCUGAAAUUCCUAUUAAUAAGUGGCUUAAUAUCCCAGAUCUCGAGCCUAAAGUUUUGGAUGGCAAAUUUGGCAAAACUAGAGUUUGCUGCCUUGGACCUUUCCGGGGACAACUAUUUAUCAUGGGUCCUGGAUGCCAAAAUUCAUCUACGAGCCAAUGGCCUCGGACAAACAAUUGUAGAUGAGAAUGAUGCUUCGCCUGAAGAGAAUGCGAAGGCCAUGAUCUUUCUUCGCCGCCACAUCCAUGAAGCGCUGAAGAGCGAAUAUGUGGUGGUUGAUGAACCGUUGGUUCUGUGGAAAGCUCUAGGUGAAAGAUACGAUCACCAGAAGACGAUGACUCUCCCAAGAGCUAGAUACGAAUGGACCCACUUGAGAUUUCAAGAUUUCAAGUCAGUGUCCGAGUAUAACUCUGCUAUGCACAGAAUUACCUCAUUAAUGAGGCUAUGUGGGGAAAAUAUAUCUGAUGAGGAUAUGCUCGAAAAAACUCUGAGCACUUUUCAUGCUUCAAAUGUCCUCCUUCAGCAGCAAUACAGACAUAGCGGUUUCAAGAAGUACUCGGAACUUGUAUCUUGCCUCUUGUUAGGUGAGCAGAAUAAUGAGCUCUUAUUAAAGAAUCACCAAUCUCGCCCAACGGGCUCAGCACCACUUCCUGAAAUAAAUGCUGCAUCUCAGGAAGUGAAUGCCACUUCAUCUCGUGGCAGUAUCCACAAACGUGGGCGAGGGGGCAAGCAUGGCCACUGGUAAGGAAGUAGAAAAAAUCGUGGUGCUCGUUCAGAGGGCUUAGGUCCAAGGAGCGGUCCAUCCACGAAUGGCAAAAAUGCAUCCCGUAAUAAGGGAAAGGCACAUAUGAGCCAUGUGCCUAGAAAUGUUGAAAGCCCUUGUCACAGAUGUGGUGCAAAGGGACAUUGGAUGCGCGCAUGUCGUACGCCCAGGCAUUUGGCGGAUCUCUAUCAAGCUUCACUUAAGAACUGGAAAGUGGAGAUAAAUUACAUUGAUCAUGCUCCGCCAGCCACAGAUGGCUCAUCAGAAAUAUCACGUCAGCUAAACAAGACGCAUCUAGGUGUUUCUGAUUUUGUUACUGAAAGAGGGAAUGAAGGUUAUGUGUCCGAAUUAGAUUAAAUUCCUUAAUAUACUACUUGUAUUAGCUGAAGUGUUGUUUAAAUUUCAAUACAAUAAAAGUGGUAAUGUUUUCUUCUUUAUUAAUCCAGCUUAUUUUACUUAUUUGGUGGCAUGGAUGCAAAUUAUGGAUGCCCUCAAAACGAAGGCUAUGACAGAGAUAUUUGUCUCGCAGACAGCGCAACUACUCAUAUGAUCUUUCAAGAUCGGAAGUAUUUCUCAAAAUUAAUGCUUACAAAAGUAAAGGUAACAACCAUAUCAGGUCCUGCAGAUCUGAUUGAAGGUUCAGGAAUAGCCCAAAUUAUGUUACCGAAUGGAACAAUACUGUCCAUUCCAGAUGCUUUGUAUUCACCUAACUCCAGAAGGAAUCUGUUGAGUUUCAAAGAUAUACGUUUGAAUGGCUACCAUGUUGAAACAAAGAAAGAGGAAAACAUGGAAUAUCUUUGUAUUACCUCCAGUGAUACUCAAAAGCAUAUACUGGAAAAGCUUUGUGAGCUCUCAUCAGGGUUGUAUUACACAACCAUACGGACAAUUGAGGCACAUAGUGUCAUGGACCAAGAGUCCACUGACUCAAAUGCUUUUAAGCUUUGGCAUGACAGGUUGGGUCAUCCUGGAUCCACCAUGAUGCGCAGGAUCAUCACCAACUCUAAAGGACAUCCCUUGUUGACUAAACACAUUAUGUUAUCAAGCGACAUCUUUUGCCAAGCUUGUUCACAAGGGAAGUUGGUGAUCAGACCAUCACAACCAAAGGUUGAUGUUGAGUCUCCAUCAUUUUUGCAGAGAAUUCAAGGGGACAUUUGUGGACCCAUUCAUCCCCCAUGUGGACCAUUUCGAUACUUUAUGGUCUUGGUAGACGCAUCUACCCGAUGGUCACAUGUUUGUCUUUUAUCUACUCGGAAUAUGGCAUUUGCUAGGCUUUUGGCUCAGAUAAUUAAAUUACGAGCCCAAUUCUCAGAUUAUCCCAUUAAGUCAAUCAGACUCGAUAAUGCUGGUGAAUUUACAUCUCAGACUUUUGAUGACUACUGCAUGUCACUAGGCAUUGAUAUUGAACAUCCUGUUCCCCAUGUGCAUACUCAAAAUGGCUUGGCAGAAGCUUUAAUUAAACGCCUUCAAUUGAUAGCACGCACUUUGCUAAUGAAAACAAAGUUGCCAGUUUCUGCUUGGGGAUAUGCCAUUUUACAUGCAGCAUCGCUUGUGCGAUUGAGGCCCGUCACCAACAAUCAAUGUUCUCCAAUACAACUCGUAUUGGGAAAUCAACCAAACAUUUCACAUUUAAGAAUUUUUGGGUGUGCGGUAUAUGUGCCCAUUGCACCACCGCAACGUACUAAGAUGGGCCCUCAAAGCAGAUUGGGAAUUUAUAUUGGUUUUGAUUCACCAUCUAUCAUCAGAUACUUGGCACCCCUGACGGGUGAUAUUUUUACCGCACGAUUUGCGGAUUGUGAUUUUGAUGAGACAAUCUUCCCACCAUUAGGGGGAGAAAAAUCUGUGUCUAAAGAACAAGGCAAACUCAUUCCUGAAAAACGACAUGAAUUAUCCUGGAAUGUAUCCACAUUGUCUCAUCUCGAUCCUCAUACUGCUCAAUGCGAAAAUGAAGUGAGAAGGAUCGUUCACCUCCAAAGUAUUGCCAAUCAGAUGCCAGAUGCAUUUAAUGAUGCAGCAAAGGUGACGAAAUCUCAUAUCCCAGCUGCAAAUGCACCCGCACGGAUUGAUGUCCAUAAUGGACAAAGCAAUGUCCCAGCAAAUGGUUCAUCUGCUGCACGCCUAAAACGUGGCAGACCACUAGGCUCAAAGGAUUCAAUUCCUCGAAAGAGGAAGUUGAUGGACAAAAUGAAUCCAAAUGAAAUAAAUAGAGAGCCCACAAUUCAUAAUUCAAAUGCCCCCAAAGAGGGACAUGUACUUCUUGACAAGGAAAACGUCAUUGGUGAGACAAGUGCCCCUGGAGUGGCAACCGUACCUGAAAGUCAAGAAAUCUCCAUAAAUUAUACGUCCACUGAUGAAUUGUGGAGUAGAAAUGAGAUGAUCAUCGAUGAUAUAUUUGCAUUCUCAGUGGCUGCUAAGAUCAUAAAAGAUGAUGAUAUUGAGCCGUGCUCUAUUAAUGAAUGUACACAGAGGCAAGAUUGGCCCAAGUGGAAAGAUGCAAUCCAGGCAGAAUUAAAUUCUUUGGAAAAAAGGAGUGUUUUUGGACAUAUUAGUCCAACUCCACCCAAUGUGAACCCUGUAGGUUACAAGUGGGUAUUUACAAGAAAGCGCAAUGAGAAAAAUGAGAUCUCAAGGUAUAAAGCGCGACUCGUUGCGCAAGGUUUUUCACAAAGGCCUGGAAUUGAUUAUGUGGAAACAUACUCUCCAGUAAUGGACACAAUUACAUUCCGUUACCUAAUAAGUUUGGCGGUUUCAGAAAAACUUGAAAUGAGACUCCUGGAUGUCAUUACCGCAUAUUUGUAUGGAGAAUUGGAUACAGAUAUAUACAUGAAAGUUCCAGAAGGAUUCAGGUUGCCUGAAGCAGCCAGAAACAAACCACGGGACAUGUUCUCAGUUAAAUUGAGAAAAUCAUUAUAUGGGCUAAAACAAUCUGGACGAAUGUGGUACAAUCGUCUCAGUAAGUAUUUAUUGAAGGAAGGAUACACAAAUGAUCCUAUUUGCCCAUGUGUGUUUAUUAAGAAAUCAGAGUCUGGAUUUGCGAUAGUGGCAGUAUAUGUCGACGACAUGAAUCUAAUUGGAACUUCUGAAGAGCUUCAAAAGACUGUUGAUUAUCUCAAACGUGAAUUUGAGAUGAAGGACCUUGGAAAGACAAAAUAUUGUCUUGGCUUGCAGAUUGAGCACAGUGCUAAUGGAAUUUUGGUGCAUCAAUCAACUUAUACUGAGAAAGUAUUGGAACGGUUUGGCAUGGAUAAAGCCCAUCCACUUAGCACUCCAAUGGUCGUUCGAUCGCUUGACACUAAGAAAGACCCAUAUCGUCCAAAAGAGAAUGAUGAAAUGGUCCUUGGUCCAGAAGUACCAUAUCUUAGUGCAAUAGGUGCUUUAUUGUACCUAGCACAAUGUACCAGACCAGACAUAUCAUUCUCAGUAAAUCUGUUAGCAAGGUACAGUUCUGCUCCAACAAGGCGACACUGGACCGGCAUCAAACAUGUUCUACGAUACCUUCGUGGGACAACAGACAUGGGGUUAUUCUAUUCCAAAACUUGGGGAACAUCAUAAUACGGUGGGAGGAGUCAUUUGGUUGGUUUUGAGUGAAAUCCAAUCUCUAUAGCUAUGCAAUACACCAACCACUACAUUUCAUAACGAACUUCGUACGAUCCUGAAUUGUCCAAUUUCAUGGACCAAUCGAUAUCGGAUUGAGUCCAAAACUUGUGGAACAUCGUAAUAUGGUGGGAGGAGUCAUUUGGUGGGUGUUGAGGGAAAUCCAAUCUCCAGAUCUAUGCAAUACACCAAGCAUUCCAUUUCAGAACGAAGUUCAUACGAACCUAAAUUGUUCAAUUUCGUGGACCAAUCGAUAUCAGAUUGAGUUUGAAACUUGGGGAACGUCAUAAUAUGGUGGAAGGAGUCAUUUUGUGGGUUUUGAGUGAAAUCCAAUCUCUACAACUAUGCAAUACACCAACCACUCCAUUUUUGUUGUGUUCCUUCCAUGUUACUAGUUUUGAAAGAACCCUGACUAAAAAUUUCUUUGGCGAGCGGUCUCUAAUAGUCUCCCUUCCUUCUUAAAUCUCUAUAAGCGUAAGUUGUCCUCUUCGUAUUUAUGUCCUAUUUGUUUGGAGAGUCCUGAAUCAAUUGAAUAUAUGCUAGUCCUUUGUCCUUGGAUAGCGUCUGUUUGGUUUGGAAGUGCAAUUGGCUAUCGUGUGGAUUUGCAAAGUUUUACUUCUUUGGAUAGAUGGUUGGGCAGUCUCUUGACAUGGGAGAGUAUGUUCUCACCCAAUUCUAUGUGGAAGGAUCGAUGGGCAGUCUCUUUUGUCGGUUGUUGCUUUCACUUGUUGGCAUAUUUGGAAGGAUCGAUGUAAAUUUGUUUACAAUGAUAUCCCAAUUGUGCCUGCAGCUACUAGAUCUCGUGCUUGUUUGGCGGUGUCAGAAUUUUGGAAUGUUACAAAGAAGCUAGUUCUUGGGUCAGUGGGUAUGCCUAUUCAAAUUUCUUCUCUUCAUAUCCUUCUUAUUGGCUACCCCCCAUUUCUUCUUAUGUUAAGAUUAAUACUGAUGGGUCUUGGAAGUCUGCUUCUGCUAUGGCUGGAGUUGGAGUUAUUAUUCGGAAGAUUGCUGGUUCUUGUAUUGGGGGUCUUGUUGCUCAGGUGCGUGCCCAAUCUCCACUUAUGGUUGAAGUUUUGGCCCUAAAACAUGGUCUUUUGAGAGCUAAAGAGUUGAAUUUGGUUAAUGUUGUGGUGGAAUCUAAUUCUCAAGUGGCUAUUAAUUCUGUUCAGAGGGAUGUUUCUUCCUUUAAUUGGGAGUUGCAUCCUGUCAUUAAGGAUAUUAGGUUUAUUAAAGCCUAUUUCACAAAUCUGAAUUGGGCAUGGGUGCUCCGUGAAGCGAACCAGUCUGCGAAUGCCGUUGUCUCGCUUGCCAAGAAGGGGAUGUGCUUGGAGUUGUGGCUUGUGUGACCUCCAUUCUCUCUGGUUCAUAUUUUAUCUCGAGAUAGUCUUCCUUGCCCUCCGCUUGAUGCUUAAUCUUUUGUUGUGUGGUUUUUCGUUUGUUUAGUUCUUUUGGCUUGUUUUAGUUCUUUGGUUUGGUAUGUCUGUUCUGUUUGUUUGGUUGGGUUUGGCUCCCCUUUGGGCCUUUGCCGGUUAACUUUUAUGGUAUCUUUGUUGACCCAAAAAAAAUAAAAAAAAAGAGGGAAGAAUCACGGACUUUGUAUACAGUUAUGUCGGUUAGUUUAUUAUUUUACAGCUAUGUCGGUUAGUUUAUUAUAUUACAAUACUUUGAUUAGUUUAUACUAAAGCAUGCUUUUGAUAUCAAGAUAUUUUGGAGUCAACCGACUUUGUUAAGUUGGUUUGUUCAUUCUCAAUUAUUCUAGACUAUUCUAUAUUAUUCAAGAUUUUUCUAUGUUCGUAAAAGUGGGGAUUACUUUUUUAACAAAAGUCUACAUUUCGUUUUCAAUAUGCCUUUUGUUUUAAAGGUACCAAGUUCUCGCUGGAGUAAUCGAACAACGAAUUCUACAACCCUUGCUAUACCAACACAAGAUUAUCCUCAGUGCAAUUUGCUUUGCUGUUCGAACUGGCAAUACAUUCUUGGGGUCCUUGAUGUAAGAUCUGAGUUCUCCUUCAAUUUCACCAUGUUAGUUGGUGUGCUUUACUCUUCAAAUCUCAUAAUUCUUUAUAUUGUGGAACAGCUGGGUUGAUUAUGCAAGGUGGGUUGGAAUUCAAAAGAUACGAGAUUAGAGCAUAGGGUAGAUUACAUGAUUGUUGUAAGUAAUUUUAUUUUUUGUGUGGAUAUUGAUUUUGUUUAUGAAAUUAUAGUGCGGUAACCUUCCGAUAAAAAUGCAAGAGAUGGGCAUUUAGAAAAUAAACUAGCAACCAAGAGAUAUCGCCUGUAUGCUUCCAUCCUGGUGGGGUGGACAAUCAGCCCAAGCAUGGUCUUCGCCAAUUAACCCAUUUGUUUUCUUUAUUUCAUUUUUGUUUAAAUAUUGGCAUAUAUAGAUUAUAAUAGUCUAGACAGAUAAUUGAACUCUUAGAAUGUCAUAUUAUCCCCAUUUGAAAUCCAGAUGGCCGUAGAUUCAUUCAUCAUAUAUAAAAUAUCUUAUUGAUUAACUGUUACUGGUGAAUGUCACUCAUAAAAAUGGUUAGGACAUGCAUAAACAUGUCAACUCAGCUCAACAUAUAAUCCUAUAGAGAACAAAAAUUCAGAAUCGGCUAAGAGUCUAAGACCCAACAUAAUUGAGAUGACAUGCAAACACCAAAGAAUAUAAGUAAUUCCUAAUGAGCCAAAAGAAACAAAGAAAACAACAAACAAUGAAGAUGUCAGCACAACCAAAUUGGUCAUCAACAAUUCAGUGCCUAAGCAAGGGUGCAUAUCUUAUUUGAUUGAGGAUGGAAUAAGAAUUCUGUAUAUGAAUAUGUAAUAUCUCAUUGCUGCUGAAAGUAGCAAUGGGUGGUUUCAACUCUUUCUGCAAAGAGGACAAUACCAUUGUAGGCGUCACACUCGAAUCAAGGAGCAAGCAAAACAUCUGGAGAGAAAACCCCGGCAGCAGUUUCUUGAGAAGCUUGAAGGGAUGGGAGUUUGAAGACUAUUCAGGCACAACACAACAUCGGCUUCCGUAAGCUGUAUAUAGCAUCUGAAUAUUGAAAGCGUUCCUGCCAAUUCAGAAGCACAUUCUUUAAACAGAACACGGCAACCUCACUUGUAUUUUUCAGCAUGAUUCAAAAGAUAAUUUGGUAAAUCAUCAAAAUAAAGAUGAAGCUUCGUUGCACAUAUAAUAUCUCAGUGCAAAUAUCAAGAAUUUGUCACAAGUAUCUGGCAGGUUCAGUCGAUAUUUCUAUUUAAAAGAACAAAGAACAACACUUGGUUACUUGAUGUCCUUUAAAAACUGCUAGCUCUACAAGUCCUCUAAAGAUUGUACAGGGGUCAGGGUUCAAAUCUUAAGUUAAGAUUAAGAAACCUAACAAGUUGAAUAAAAGGCAGAGAAUUAUGAAAAACAUAAACAUUGUAUACAACCAAACAAAAGAAAGAAAAAUAUGGGUAAAAGUUUUCUCAGCAGAGAGAUGGCAAAAUAUUACAAGGCAAACCAAAUGGCAAAAUAUUAAACAUCUGAAACUUGCAACAGAAAGGUAGUGAUUUACCAUCUUCAGUUGAUGUUACCACGAUAUGAAAUGACCUUGUUGCUAUCCAGUCCUUUUCACAGCUCUUCACCCUGCAGCUCCGGAAGUAAGAGAGGCAGUCCCUUCUUUCAACCCUCUCACACUGGACCAGACAUCAUGCGAGGACUGGGUCCAGGAUAAAUAUUUUCCACCCAAUUUUAUCGAGGCCUUAAAAAGAGUAAAUCGCAGUGGGAG
Molecule: long non-coding RNA, 26472 nt
Filed under: Prunus persica (peach)
Lineage: Eukaryota; Viridiplantae; Streptophyta; Magnoliopsida; Rosales; Rosaceae
Description: long non-coding RNA (PPER_LNC001758)
Source: RNAcentral